CGCCUUGCCAGCCCGCUCAGAAACUUAAAGGAAUUGACGGGGCCGCACAAGCGGUGGAGCAUGUGGUUAAUUCGAUGAUACGCGAGGAACCUUACCUGGGCUCAAAUGUAUGUUGACGUAUUCUGAAAGGGAUACUUCUUCGGACAAUAUACAAGGUGCUGCAUGGUUGUCGUCAGCUCGUGCCGUGAGGUGUGGGUUAAGUCCCGCAACGAGCGCAACCCCUAUUGCCAGUUGCUACCAGGUAAUGCUGGGCACUCUGGUGAGACUGCCCCGGUUAACGGGGAGGAAGGUGGGGACGACGUCAAGUCAUCAUGGCCCUUACGCCUAGGGCUACACACGUACUACAAUGGCGCAUACAAAGGGCAGCGAUACCGCGAGGUGGAGCCAAUCCCAAAAAGUGCGUCCCAGUCCGGAUUGCAGUCUGCAACUCGACUGCAUGAAGUUGGAAUCGCUAGUAAUUCGAGAUCAGCAUCGCUCGGGUGAAUAGCGUUCCCGGGCCUU
RNAcentral lists this ribosomal RNA (501 nucleotides) under uncultured Desulfovibrio sp. RNAcentral describes it as "bacterial SSU rRNA". It matches the Rfam family "Bacterial small subunit ribosomal RNA", at positions 903 to 1382 of the family's 1533-position model. Lineage: Bacteria; Pseudomonadati; Thermodesulfobacteriota; Desulfovibrionia; Desulfovibrionales; Desulfovibrionaceae. The record is from RNAcentral.